CAAUAGCGUAUAUUAAAGUUGUUGCAGUUAAAAAGCUCGUAGUUGGAUUUGUGGCGUACGGUGUGUUCCGGGCACUUGUUGUCUGAGUAACCUGCUGCUGCCAUCCUUGGGUGGAACCUGUGUGGCAUUAGGUUGUCGUGCAGGGGAUGCCCAUCAUUUACUGUGAAAAAAUUAGAGUGUUCAAAGCAGGCUUAUGCCGUUGAAUAUAUUAGCAUGGAAUAAUGAGAUAGGACUUUUUUGCUAUUUUGUUGGUUUGCGCAAAGAGGUAAUGAUUAAUAGGGACAGUUGGGGGUAUUCGUAUUCCAUUGUCAGAGGUGAAAUUCUUGGAUUUUUGGAAGACGAACUACUGCGAAAGCAUUUACCAAGGAUGUUUUCAUUGA
Molecule: ribosomal RNA, 380 nt
Filed under: uncultured eukaryote
Lineage: Eukaryota
Description: partial 18S ribosomal RNA
Rfam family: Eukaryotic small subunit ribosomal RNA
Source: RNAcentral